RNAcentral lists this long non-coding RNA (483 nucleotides) under Medicago truncatula (barrel medic). RNAcentral's name for it is "long non-coding RNA (MTRU_LNC007049)". The record is from RNAcentral. Lineage: Eukaryota; Viridiplantae; Streptophyta; Magnoliopsida; Fabales; Fabaceae.
UGACAAGCUUUUUAAUGCUAAGGCUGCUUCUUAAACACCUACAAAUGUACGUAUGUGAUUUUAAAAAUACUAUUAAUUUGUAAUUAUAUAUAUAGGCAUUCAUUUUCUAAUACAAUUUUUCGCUACUUUUAUAUUUGAAGUACUUUGAAGCUCCUAAAGAUAAGCUAGUUGAGGUCGAGGAGGAUUGGGCAACCUUUAUGGUCAAGUAUAUUAGUGAGUUUCGUUUUCUUUUUCAACAAUUUUCAUUUUCAUUUUUUAAUUGAGUUACCGUUGGUUUGUGCUGAAAAUUCGAUGUUAAUUAAUUUUUCGUUUCAUUUUAUACGACACAGGAGAAAAUGUUGCUGGUAGAUUUAUUAACUAAACAUUGGAUAGCUUGACACGAGUUCUCUUAAAUUUAGGUGUUUUUUCGUUGGUAAUUGUGGAUUGAUUCAUAUCAUGAAAUUUUUAGUUAAGUUUAUGAUCAAUUUGUAAUGAGAUUAUUAU